CUCACAUUGUCUUUGAUCCCUGUGGUCUAAAUGGCUGCAUUUUAUAGACUCAGAGGCAUUUAGUGUCUGUUAAGAAAAAAGAUAAUAACCUCCAAAUUCCUAUUGCCUUUUCCCAAAUUAUUUACAGAUUUCAGUUACUAACUGAAAAGAGGGCCUUCAUUCAAAUAUGAAUAAAGGAAGUGAUGUGGCAUUUACUCAACAUUUCAUUUUUUCUUCUUGGUUCUUUUUACUUUCCAGCUGUUCAGUGUCUUUUCUCUUAUGCCCAGACUAUAUACCAGCCUUACCAGUCUUGGCAGAGGAGAGAUGUCUGUCCCAAGAGGAAUAUUGGACUCUCUCCUGUCAUUUGCAUACAAUUCACCUACCCUAAGCUCUGUUUCCAAAGAUACUGGCCUUUCCAUGCUGAAAUGAUGAUAUUGCAAGUUAUCCUCUGCAAGUGAGAGAGUUAUUGUUUCUAAAGGACGUUUUCAUGGAAUCUUUCAUGACUCAAGCUCGGUCCAUUUUCAUUUUUGCUCUAGUCCUUGUUGCUCAACUUUUUACAAAUCAGCCUCAUUUAAAUAAUCUGAGGUACGGACCUAAGAUAAUUAUAAUUUAUUUAGCUUCUACCCUUAGCCCUAUCUUAUGCAAAAGGAAAUGGUGGCUAAGAAAGUUUAAGAAUCUAGUCCUCCUAGCAAAAACAUUGCAGAAGUAAAAUUUUAACCUGGGACUGUGUGAUGACAAAUCAUUACCUCUAUCCUGUUAACUCCUCUGGGGCCUU
RNAcentral lists this long non-coding RNA (754 nucleotides) under Sus scrofa (pig). RNAcentral's name for it is "lncRNA (ENSSSCG00045001577.1)". The record is from RNAcentral. Lineage: Eukaryota; Metazoa; Chordata; Mammalia; Artiodactyla; Suidae.